Molecule: ribosomal RNA, 253 nt
Filed under: uncultured bacterium
Lineage: Bacteria
Description: partial 16S ribosomal RNA
Rfam family: Bacterial small subunit ribosomal RNA
Source: RNAcentral
UACGUAGGGUGCAAGCGUUGUCCGGAAUUAUUGGGCAUAAAGAGCUCGUAGGCGGUUUGUCGCGUCUGCUGUGAAAACGCGAGGCUCAACCUCGCGCCUGCAGUGGGUACGGGCAGACUAGAGUGCGGUAGGGGAGAUUGGAAUUCCUGGUGUAGCGGUGGAAUGCGCAGAUAUCAGGAGGAACACCGAUGGCGAAGGCAGAUCUCUGGGCCGUAACUGACGCUGAUGCACGAAAGCUAGGGGAGCAAACAGG